UCGAAGGAAAGGACUGGUGACUCUUUAGAAUUCGUCUCUCCCAUCUCCGUCAAUCCACUCCACACUCCUCAUGACCUUAUCCACAUACACUGCCGCCUUCGAUUGGCAGCCGGCGAAGGAAGAUGCCGCCGCUAGCUUAUGUGAAACUAAUUCCUGAUCUAUCCCGGCGCUACUUCUUGUCUCUUAUCUUCCAGUUUCCUUCUGUUUUGGUACUGUCCCCAAACCCUAGCUCUGGUGAUCUUAGAUUGGGCAUGCAGCAGCGAUGAACUCAUUUGGGUAGGUCUUAGCCCGUUGGUGGCGAGUUCUCGCCUUCCUCAUGGUUGGUGCUUUCAGACCUCUGCCAGUUGCCAAAUCAGAUGUGAAGCAGAUGUUGAAGAAAUAAUAAGACAGAGAUGUGUCGGCUGGCUGAGGUGAGUUGUGGCCCUCAUUGUUCGUCAUGCCGGGUUUUCACAUGUAUGUGCUACAGCUUCGUAUCAUUCCUACUUCCUCCAUAGCGGGUGAUUCUUCACAUGUAUGUUUUCAGCCUCUAACUGAGCUAAAAAUAUAUAAUGAUUUUUUUAGCAUAUAUUUGCAAGUUAUAUUACAUAUACGUCUGCUCCACCUGUGCUGAGCGUAGAGGGCUAGCCGCGAUUUAUACCUGUAAAUUAAACCUUGUGUCCCGAGGCUGAGCAUCCUCCUCCCUCUGCUCCACCUUGCAACCUCCUAGACGCCGGCUUGUGUACGUCUGCGAGGGAGCAUCCCUGUAACUUGUGAACACCCUUCUACCUAUCAAUGAAAUGAUACGCUGCUAAGCGUAUUCACCAAAAAAAAUAUUACAUAUACGUGUAUCUAAUACAAAGCAAGAUCCAUGUGUUAAUUGACAUAGGAUAAUAUUGAAGCCUUUCUAAUAUUUCUCUUGAUCUGAAAAGUCUGUUGGAUUGAAGAGUUGUCAUGAAGAGCAGAAAACUCAUAUUUCAAUCAAAUAAAUACAACAUGUCAUGAUUCUUGUAGUGCUAAAUUCAAUACUUUUGUUAUCUAAUAACUCACAUCAUUAUAUCGGUAGAUGUCAAGUGUUCUUCUCCAUCUCAGUAGUAGUCUGCCUUAGUUUCACUAUAAGCUACUAAUCAACUAAUUUUGUGUUUUUUCUGUCUACUGUAUCUUCUAACUGCCCACUUGUCUUGUACUCCCUCCAUAAAGAAAUAUAAGACUAGUGAUCUAAACGCUCUUAUAUUUCUUUACAAAGGGAAUAGCAUUUUACAUCAACAAUUCCGGUCUUGUGGCCAUCUACCUCUUUGGUUAUUUUUUGUGCUCUCCUAACGGCUGCAGUAACACUACAUCUUAUUUUGCCACAACGGGCAACUGAGUCUUUAUCUUCAAGCAUUGUAGGUUUUUUUACUUUUGCUUCAACAUGUUUCUUGUUCCCAACGUACAUAUUUCUCCUUUCAUUCUUGCACACUUAUGUCGGUGCAUUCAUCAUUUGAGCCAUCCGAUAAUACAAUAGAUCUCCAUCAGUUUCUUUUGCCAUUGUAGAGUCCAUGUGAUGCUGACAUUUUUUCUUCACACCCAUCAACUCAUUUACUAUAGUCCCAUAGUAUCAUGUGGUUCUUCUCCCAUGGGCAACCAAUUGACAUAUCCUUUUCUGAGGUGAAUCUCAAUUGUUAUUUUUCUACAAAAUAAAAAUACAUUUCAAAGAUUAUACAUGUCUCUAAAAAUUGAUAAGUAUGUACUCUGAGAAAAUCAACCACCUUUUUCGCAUCCAUGUUAUGGUUCUUCGUUGCUUUUUGUAACACAUCAUCCAAAAUUCUACGCAUCAUAUGUGAGAUAUACUUAUUAGUUAGGAAACUACAAACACAGUACGUGAAAUUUAUUCCGGUAGAAUUUUCUUUGAAAUCUUCACCAUUACUGCUUGGAAUAUUUGGAAGGAGAGAAAUAACUUCAUCUUCAAUCAGAUCAGUCCUUCAUAUAGAGCUUGGCUUGAGAGAACUAAGGCUGAUCUUACCUGGCUUAGAUACAGAGUGUCCCCUGAUCUCAGUGAUUAUAUCACUUCUUUUGUAAAUUCACUUUAGACUCUGCUUGUUUGUUUUCCUUUGGUGGGACUUUCCUCCUAGCCAUGUAAAUACUUAUUAUAUAUUAUUAUAGCAUAUUAGGUGCCUCUCCUACUAUUUCUCAGUCAAAAAAAAGAACACAGUAGGCAUUUUGUAAUGAAUUAAAUGCAAAUUAACCUCCUCAACAAUGCUUAGUCAAAGAAAUAUAUGUUAUGAAUCUCACAUAUGAGUAUAUCUAGAUCUGUAUAAUGAUACCCCAAACUUUAACCAAGAUAUACCGAAGUUUUUGGUAUAUCUAAAUCUAUAUAUAUUCUUGUGGCACUUGACAUUAAGCACAACUAUGUUUAAUCAAAGAAAAAUCUGUUGCACAUAUUUUGGUAAAUAAUAGAAGAGCUUGUAACAUUAAUGAACUUAUCAUUGAACUUCUGCAUCAUUGCUGAGGUCACAGUAAGGACAGUUCGGUUGCCAUUUAGAUCCUCAUUGAAGCUAUAAGUAAAAUUUUCUCAUAAACUAACAAUAAUUUUAUCACCCCUAAAGAGUAUAAUCUAGAAAAAUUGAUGCCAUGUCAAUGAAGUUAGUCCAAUUAAAAUUUGAGGAAUGGUUACGUAUUAUGAACUUAGUCUGAUAUUACAAUUGCAAUUUGGCUGAAGUAUGAAUUUUCAGAGUUCUUUCUUUUUUAUUAAUGAUUCCACAUGCUUCGUUUGGGUGAGUAAUCCAAUGAUGUCUUUAAAAGCGGAGUUAAUUAUUUUGAAGUUAAAAAUAUUAAUAUCUUGAAAGUCUUAUUUACAACUAUAGACUAUAGAGAUAUGUGAGCAUUCUUUUAUAUUUCUCUGCAUGUUCUUCUAAUGUUUCUUUUGUAGCAAACUCGAAGUAGUAAGCUGGGUAACCUUCAGAUGAUCCUUUCGCCUCUACUUUUGUAAUGUACGCAGACAUAAUUAUAUUUCACUGCUUACUCGGUUAUACUUUGUGGAUUCCAGAACCUUAAAAUUUCUAAAUGUAUAAAUAGAUUCUCAUUUAUCUUUGAUCUAUAUGUGUCUAUAAACUUCUUCCUGAUAGUGGCAUGAAUUGUUUGGCCAUGUGAAAACAAUCGAAAUGUACUUAGUAGUUCUAUAAAACAAUAGAACAAUAUGCAAGUAAAUAUAUAAUGAGUAAACCUUUUCAUCCAUGAAUUUCAUAUCGGCAAAAUAUACUUAAUUGUAUAGAACAAUAGAACAAUCUUCAAAUAUAUAUGUAAUGACUAAACUUUUUCAUGCAUGAAUAUCAUAUUGGGGAUCCAAAGCCAUUUGGUUGUAGAAUUGAUUAAUCUCAUAUUCUCAUUACUUGCGCUUCAAUACACAGUCUUGUCUUCUUGUUGUGAACUCUCCAAGCUUGUUGUAUGACAUUGCUGUAAAAGGAUCAUACAAUCUCUAGUGAAUUAAUAAUGCACGUAUGAAGAUUGUGUCCAGAAUACAAACCUUGAUGAUUCUGUUGAGAGGCCACUCAAAAGGUUGCUUGGGCACGACUACAUCUGGCAGCCCGUAGAUCGGGUCAAGAAUAACAAUUACAAACCUAUGAUUCAGGUGAGAGGCCACUCAAAAGGAUUGGAUCCAGAAUAGCAAUUACGGACCUUGAUGAUUCAGGUGAGAGGCCACUCAGAAGGUUGCUUGGGCACGACUACGUCCGGCGUUGUGACGUUGCCUAGUUGAAUCAGAAGACUUUGAAUUUAUUGGUAGUAUGCUAGCCUGGUAGCAUAUUUGGCUGACCUAAUUCUUUGGGCAUGUGUUGGGUGCGGUCGGAUGUAUGCCUUUUUAUCUGUCGUGGUUGCCUUGGCAAGUCCUUUUUUUCCAUCAUGCCUUGGAAAGUCCUUGUGGAGUCCUCUAUGUAGUCCAUAUACAUGUCUUAUUUGCAUGCGUGUAUCCGUAUACAUUGUGUCCACGUAUGGAAUUGGCUGCACGUAA
Long non-coding RNA from Triticum dicoccoides, 3961 nucleotides. RefSeq lists it as uncharacterized. NCBI's taxonomy places the organism in Eukaryota, Viridiplantae, Streptophyta, Magnoliopsida, Poales, Poaceae. The record is from RefSeq and is a predicted model, not a curated record. The transcript has 2 exons.